Xyrauchen texanus (razorback sucker) is the source of this 569-nucleotide long non-coding RNA. RefSeq lists it as uncharacterized. The record is from RefSeq and is a predicted model, not a curated record. The transcript has 4 exons. Lineage: Eukaryota; Metazoa; Chordata; Actinopteri; Cypriniformes; Catostomidae.
GCUAUGGAGAAAAGGUGGGCAGUUGUGUUUGAUUUCGUCUCUCUGGGAAAAUACCCAUCUGGGUAUAAUAAGUCCCAAAAAUUAAACCUAAGGAGGUACGCUUCCAAAUUCACAAUAAAGGAAGGAGAUCUCUUCUUUGGAUGUAGAAGAGUCAUCAAGUCCAAAGAAGAUGCAAGAAAGCUCUUCAAAGAGUUUCACUCCUCUCCAAUUGGAGGGCAUUCAGGCAUCCUGAAAACACGCACUGCAAUAAGCUCCAGAUUUUACUGGCUUGGCAUGUCCAUCGAUAUUGACAACUGGGUGUCUGCUGUCUGGGAGCUUAUUGGAAUCGACUUGACAGGACCUCUCCCAAAGACUGUGGAUGGCUUCCAAUAUAUACUGACAGCCACAGACUACUUUUCAAAAUGGGUUGAGGCUUUCCCAUUAAAGAGCAAAACAGCAGCAGAAGUGGGACGCCAUAUAUGCUCUAUUAUAUAUAGACAUGGGUGUCCCAAAAGAAUCCUCUCUGACCAGGGAAGAGAAUUUGUGAACGAACUCAACAGCAGCCUCUGUAAUUUGUUGUCGAUUGAAAG